UCCUCGUUUAAGCGAGGCAGUCUGUCCAGAGUGCUUCAAACUCUCGUUCAAGUGGCAACUGGACACAAGGGUUGCGCUCGUUGCGGGACUUAACCCAACAUCUCACGACACGAGCUGACGACAGCCAUGCAGCACCUGUGUAUUCUGGUAUUGCUACCUCGUUAGGUUUUCACCCUUCUACUAAAUACAUGUCAAGGCCAGGUAAGGUUCUUCGCGUUGCAUCGAAUUAAGCCACAUACUCCACCGCUUGUGCAGGCCCCCGUCAAUUUCUUUGAGUUUUAAUCUUGCGACCGUACUCCCCAGGCGGCACAUUUAACGCGUUAGCUUCGCCACAAGCGGGGUCGAUUCCGCUUACAGCAAAUGUGCACCGUUUACAGCUAGGACUAC
This 387-nucleotide unclassified non-coding RNA is filed under the name uncultured Verrucomicrobiae bacterium. RNAcentral's name for it is "contains 16S-23S intergenic spacer region". The record is from RNAcentral. Lineage: Bacteria; Pseudomonadati; Verrucomicrobiota; Verrucomicrobiia.